AGAGUUUGAUCAUGGCUCAGAUUGAACGCUGGCGGCAGGCCUAACACAUGCAAGUCGAACGGUAACAGGAAACAGCUUGCUGUUUCGCUGACGAGUGGCGGACGGGUGAGUAAUGUCUGGGAAACUGCCUGAUGGAGGGGGAUAACUACUGGAAACGGUAGCUAAUACCGCAUAACGUCGCAAGACCAAAGAGGGGGACCUUCGGGCCUCUUGCCAUCAGAUGUGCCCAGAUGGGAUUAGCUAGUAGGUGGGGUAACGGCUCACCUAGGCGACGAUCCCUAGCUGGUCUGAGAGGAUGACCAGCCACACUGGAACUGAGACACGGUCCAGACUCCUACGGGAGGCAGCAGUGGGGAAUAUUGCACAAUGGGCGCAAGCCUGAUGCAGCCAUGCCGCGUGUAUGAAGAAGGCCUUCGGGUUGUAAAGUACUUUCAGCGGGGAGGAAGGGAGUAAAGUUAAUACCUUUGCUCAUUGACGUUACCCGCAGAAGAAGCACCGGCUAACUCCGUGCCAGCAGCCGCGGUAAUACGGAGGGUGCAAGCGUUAAUCGGAAUUACUGGGCGUAAAGCGCACGCAGGCGGUUUGUUAAGUCAGAUGUGAAAUCCCCGGGCUCAACCUGGGAACUGCAUCUGAUACUGGCAAGCUUGAGUCUCGUAGAGGGGGGUAGAAUUCCAGGUGUAGCGGUGAAAUGCGUAGAGAUCUGGAGGAAUACCGGUGGCGAAGGCGGCCCCCUGGACGAAGACUGACGCUCAGGUGCGAAAGCGUGGGGAGCAAACAGGAUUAGAUACCCUGGUAGUCCACGCCGUAAACGAUGUCGACUUGGAGGUUGUGCCCUUGAGGCGUGGCUUCCGGAGCUAACGCGUUAAGUCGACCGCCUGGGGAGUACGGCCGCAAGGUUAAAACUCAAAUGAAUUGACGGGGGCCCGCACAAGCGGUGGAGCAUGUGGUUUAAUUCGAUGCAACGCGAAGAACCUUACCUGGUCUUGACAUCCACGGAGGUUUUCAGAGAUGAGAAUGUGCCUUCGGGAACCGUGAGACAGGUGCUGCAUGGCUGUCGUCAGCUCGUGUUGUGAAAUGUUGGGUUAAGUCCCGCAACGAGCGCAACCCUUAUCCUUUGUUGCCAGCGGUCCGGCCGGGAACUCAAAGGAGACUGCCAGUGAUAAACUGGAGGAAGGUGGGGAUGACGUCAAGUCAUCAUGCCCCUUACGACCAGGGCUACACACGUGCUACAAUGGCGCAUACAAAGAGAAGCGACCUCGCGAGAGCAAGCGGACCUCAUAAAGUGCGUCGUAGUCCGGAUUGGAGUCUGCAACUCGACUCCAUGAAGUCGGAAUCGCUAGUAAUCGUGGAUCAGAAUGCCACGGUGAAUACGUUCCCGGGCCUUGUACACACCGCCCGUCACACCAUGGGAGUGGGUUGCAAAAGAAGUAGGUAGCUUAACCUUCGGGAGGGCGCUUACCACUUUGUGAUUCAUGACUGGGGUGAAGUCGUAACAAGGUAACCGUAGGGGAACCUGCGGUUG
This 1522-nucleotide ribosomal RNA is filed under the name metagenome. Its description in RNAcentral is "bacterial SSU rRNA". It matches the Rfam family "Bacterial small subunit ribosomal RNA". The record is from RNAcentral.